RNAcentral lists this long non-coding RNA (1084 nucleotides) under Cairina moschata (Muscovy duck). RNAcentral describes it as "domestica (muscovy Duck (domestic type)) lncRNA (ENSCMMG00000010127.1)". Lineage: Eukaryota; Metazoa; Chordata; Aves; Anseriformes; Anatidae. The record is from RNAcentral.
GGGCUGGGGAAGCUGCAGGCCUACAGUGUGGGGGCACAGAGAAUUGGUCUAAAAACAGUAGUAAAACCCAAAAUUCAAGGACAAAGAAUAAUGCUCUUCUUAAGCGGGGGCCCUGUUUGAUUUUCUUUUCUUUCCAUACAUCCUAGAGCUGAAUACAGCUCUGUAUGAUGCUGAAUAUAUUCCCCCUCUACUCUGCCCUCAUGAGACCCCACCUAAAGUACUACAACCACGUUUGGGGCCCCCAGCACAAGAAAGAUGAAGACCUGUGAGGACAAGCCCAGAGGAGGGCCACGAAGGUGACCAGAGAGCUGGAGCACCUCUCCUACAAAGAAAGGCUGAGAGAACUGGGGCUGUUCAACCCAGGGAGAGAAGGCCCUGUGAAGGCCCCAUUGUGGCCUUUGAAUACUUAAAGCUGGCUUAUCAAGAAGGAUUCUUUGCUCAGACAGCAAGGCUGGGAUCUGGGAGGAUUCUGCUGAAGGAAACUGUCAUUCCACAACAUGCCCCUACAUGAAGAAUAAUGUCACAGGCAGGGCUGAUGCUGGAAUUGAGUAAUUUCUACACAGCAAGAAGAAUGCUUGCAAAAGAGGUAAUACAUUUAAAGAAGUAAUGUUCUCAUUUCUGUUGAAUUCUCAGUCUAUAACAUAAAAUUAUUUGAGUCUCUUACCUCACAACUGCCAUGACGUAUUUAUAUUGCAUCUUAUAGAUCAGAAAUCUGAAGUAUCUGGAAAGAUAAGCAACUUUUCCAAGAUCACAGAUUUCUUAUUUUCUUAUGACAGCAAGUGAGUAUCAGAGCCAAGGUUAUUCCCAAACCUCUUAACUUCCCUUCUCUAAUAGCAUAUUACCAGAUACAUGGUUUGCAGUGUAAAGAAGGAGGAAAGACAGAAAAAGGAAAUAUAUGCAGGACUCUUCAAUAAAUUAAAUUAAUAUAUCGGGCCCAUCUUUAUAGAAUUCUCUCCAUUUGUUAAUGUUGGACUACUUUACAAGGGGAAGUUUUUAUGCAUAUGCCUAUUUUACAGAUGGGAAAAUUGAAAUAAAAAGUAAUUUGAUGAAACUUGUACAACAGAUUAGUUUGCAGGGCUAGCAA